AGAGUUUGAUCCUGGCUCAGGAUGAACGCUAGCGGCAGGCCUAAUACAUGCAAGUCGAGGGGCAGCACAGGUAGCAAUACUGGGUGGCGACCGGCAAACGGGUGCGGAACACGUACGCAACCUUCCUUUGAGCGGGGAAUAGCCCAUAGAAAUGUGGAUUAAUACCCCGUAAUAUCGUUGUCAGGCAUCUGAUGGCGAUUAAAGCUCCGGCACUCGAAGAUGGGCGUGCGUCUGAUUAGGUAGUUGGUGAGGUAACGGCUCACCAAGCCGACGAUCAGUAACUGGCGUGUGAGCGCGACCAGUCACACGGGCACUGAGACACGGGCCCGACUCCUACGGAAGGCAGCAGGAAGGAAUAUUGGUCAAUGGACGCAAGUCUGAACCAGCCAUGCCGCGUGGAGGAUGAAGGUCCUCUGGAUUGUAAACUUCUUUUAUCUGGGAAGAAAUGUCGGUUUUCUAACUGGCUUGACGGUACCAGAUGAAUAAGCACCGGCUAACUCCGUGCCAGCAGCCGCGGUAAUACGGAGGGUGCAAGCGUUAUCCGGAUUCACUGGGUUUAAAGGGUGCGUAGGCGGAUUUGUAAGUCCGUGGAGAAAUCUCCGAGCUUAACUCGGAAACUGCCAUGGAUACUAUAAGUCUUGAAUGUUGUGGAGGUUUGCGGAAUAUGUCAUGUAGCGGUGAAAUGCUUAGAUAUGACAUAGAACACCGAUUGCGAAGGCAGCAGGCUACACAAAUAUUGACGCUGAGGCACGAAAGCGUGGGGAUCAAACAGGAUUAGAUACCCUGGUAGUCCACGCCCUAAACGAUGAUUACUCGACAUUUGCGAUACACAGCANGUGUCUGAGCGAAAGCAUUAAGUAAUCCACCUGGGAAGUACGACCGCAAGGUUGAAACUCAAAGGAAUUGACGGGGGCCCGCACAAGCGGCGGAGCAUGUUGCUUAAUUCGACGCAACGCGAAGAACCUUACCAAGGCUUGACAUUGCCCGGAAACACUCAGAGAUGGGUGCCUCUUCGGAUCGGGUGACAGGUGGUGCAUGGCUGUCGUCAGCUCGUGUCGUGAGAUGUUGGGUUAAGUCCCGCAACGAGCGCAACCCUUGUUCAAUGUUGCCAGCACGCUCCUUCGGGGGUGGUGGGGACUCAUUGGAGACUGCCGGGGUCAACUCGGAGGAAGGUGGGGAUGACGUCAAGUCAUCAUGCCCCUUAUGUCUUGGGCUGCAAACAUGCUACAAUGGCCGGUACAGAGGGCUGCGAUACCGCAAGGUGGAGCGAAUCCCUAAAAGCCGGUCUCAGUUCGGAUUGGGGUCUGCAACUCGACCCCAUGAAGUCGGAGUCGCUAGUAAUCGCAGAUCAGCAACGCUGCGGUGAAUACGUUCCCGGGCCU
RNAcentral lists this ribosomal RNA (1382 nucleotides) under metagenome. RNAcentral describes it as "bacterial SSU rRNA". It matches the Rfam family "Bacterial small subunit ribosomal RNA", at positions 8 to 1381 of the family's 1533-position model. The record is from RNAcentral.